ACAGCCUGCGAGGGACUGAGGGCCUGGCAGCACCAUGCAGCCUGAAAAUCUCCAUGUCUGAUGAGACAUGCUGUGGUUCAAGCCACAUGAUUGGGUGGAUGGAGUGCCCAGUUUUGCUGCUCAUGUUUGAUACAGGAGAGGUGCAAGGAGCCCUUUUGAAUCCAGUACUUGCGUAGGAUGCAGUCUCUACAGACAAUCCUAACUGCCUAAUGAAGUUUGGCAACUGGAUUAUUGUCAGUUCUGGACAGAGGGGAACAUAACCUCCUGGAGGAGGUUCCACUGAGAGCACACUCUAUUUGGAACUUCACUGAAUUUUUAUUUCUACACGUGACUCAGAGGACUUUAGAAAAGGAGACUGGAAUUAAGUGAUGUAACAUCUUCAGGUACUGCUCUGACACCACAGGCUUCACGAGCACUUCAUGAGUGUUUUAAAGUUACUUUAAUGUUCUUCCCACUGUUGAGACCAACUGGGGCCUUUACGCAGCACUUCUUAGGAGGGAGAGGAAGAAGGUACUCAGUUUCUGCACACAACUAAAAUUAAACUGUCUGCAAUUAGAAAGCUACUGAAAGAAUCCACAGAAAAUGCUUUAAGACACCACAAUCAACUGAAAAAUACCACAGAACAAGUUAAACAGCCUUGCUAAAAUCAGUCUAGUGGUACAAACUAGUUAAAAUGACAAGUUGG
Molecule: long non-coding RNA, 685 nt
Organism: Catharus ustulatus (Swainson's thrush)
Lineage: Eukaryota; Metazoa; Chordata; Aves; Passeriformes; Turdidae
Exons: 3
Source: RefSeq, a predicted model, not a curated record